GGAGUAAAAUUCAAUCAACUCUGAUCACUCUGACGUUCGUCAAGAGCGUUUCUACCCCAUCCCCGCUGCCCCCCCCCUCCACCGUCACACACACACACCCGUUUUUUUUUCCGCGAUAUUAAUUCCGGUAUAUUUUCUCCGAGAAAUAUUACAGGCGUAUUACCGUCAGUAGUAUUAUUAUCAUUAUCAUUAUUAUCAUUAUUAUCAUUAUUGAAGGGGACGGGACGUGGACGCGACGAAAAUAUUCGAUAAUAAAUUACGUUCAACGAAAAGU
Cinara cedri is the source of this 274-nucleotide non-coding RNA. Lineage: Eukaryota; Metazoa; Arthropoda; Insecta; Hemiptera; Aphididae. The record is from the annotation of a GenBank genome assembly.